Molecule: ribosomal RNA, 252 nt
Filed under: Rhodomonas abbreviata
Lineage: Eukaryota; Cryptophyceae; Pyrenomonadales; Pyrenomonadaceae
Description: partial Eukaryotic large subunit ribosomal RNA
Rfam family: Eukaryotic large subunit ribosomal RNA
Source: RNAcentral
GUAAAGCGAAUGAUUAGAGGCCUCAGGGGUGGAACGUCCUUGACCUAUUCUCAAACUUUAAAUGGGUAAGAACCCUGGGUUGCUUAAUUGAACCCGGCGGUCGAAUGACGGUUGCUAGUGGGCCAAUCUGGGUAAGCUAGAUUGGCGAUGCGGGAUGAACCGAACGUCAAGUUAAAGUGCCAAAGUAUCCGCUAACCUAGAUCCCACAAAAGGUGUUGGUUCAUUAAGACAGCAGGACGGUGGCCAUGGAAG